CGAACGCUGGCGGCACGCCUAACACAUGCAAGUCGAGCGCUCUCCUUCGGGAGGGAGCGGCGGACGGGUUAGUAACGCGUGGGAACAUACCCUUUUCUACGGAAUAGCCUCUGGAAACGGAGAGUAAUACCGUAUACGCCCUUCGGGGGAAAGAUUUAUCGGUUAAGGAUUGGCCCGCGUUAGAUUAGAUAGUUGGUGGGGUAACGGCCUACCAAGUCGACGAUCUAUAGCUGGUUUGAGAGGAUGAUCAGCAACACUGGGACUGAGACACGGCCCAGACUCCUACGGGAGGCAGCAGUGGGGAAUCUUAGACAAUGGGCGCAAGCCUGAUCUAGCGAUGCCGCGUGAGUGAUGAAGGCCUUAGGGUCGUAAAGCUCUUUCACCAGGGAUGAUAAUGACAGUACCUGGAAAAGAAGCCCCGGCUAACUCC
This 430-nucleotide ribosomal RNA is filed under the name uncultured bacterium. RNAcentral describes it as "bacterial SSU rRNA". It matches the Rfam family "Bacterial small subunit ribosomal RNA", at positions 30 to 504 of the family's 1533-position model. The record is from RNAcentral.